UUAUUUUACAAUUAUGAAAUAUUUACUAAUAUCAAUUUAUGUUUUAGAACCACAGUACUAUUUUUUGUCCUUUAAAUGAUAUCUAAAUUUGUUUUUUUCGCCUUUUAUUAAAAAUAUUGCUAUGCGUAUAAGCAUAAAUACUAUAUACUUGUGCGACCCCUUUUAGUUUUACUGAAAACUGCGCAGACUAAGAAAUGUUUUUAUAAGUGCAAAAUGUUCAAUGAUAGAUAUCAUUUUGUCAGACACUUUUAUUUUUUUGAUUUGGUUCUAAUAACAUGCCAAAAAUCGGUAUAUUUAAUAGAGUUUAACAUUAAAUUAAGCGUUUUACUCUUAACAGACGUAUAACCAACCCGAUUAACAGACCAAUCGCCCAUAUAGCCGCAUACUCAAUAUAGAUUAACCGACCAAUCUCUCGGUUAGCCGAGUGUCGGCCGUGUAUA
This 440-nucleotide long non-coding RNA is filed under the name Mytilus galloprovincialis (Mediterranean mussel). Lineage: Eukaryota; Metazoa; Mollusca; Bivalvia; Mytilida; Mytilidae. The record is from RNAcentral.